RNAcentral lists this transfer RNA (72 nucleotides) under Bos taurus (domestic cattle). It matches the Rfam family "tRNA". Rfam says of the family: Transfer RNA (tRNA) molecules are approximately 80 nucleotides in length. Their secondary structure includes four short double-helical elements and three loops (D, anti-codon, and T loops). RNAcentral also lists the same sequence under 3 other names. The record is from Rfam by way of RNAcentral. Lineage: Eukaryota; Metazoa; Chordata; Mammalia; Artiodactyla; Bovidae.
UCCCUGGUGGUACAAUGGUUAGGACCUGGCACUUUCACUGCCGGGGCCAAGGUUCAAUCCCUGGUCGGGGAA